This 89-nucleotide transfer RNA is filed under the name Thermus thermophilus. RNAcentral describes it as "tRNA-Lys". The record is from RNAcentral. Lineage: Bacteria; Thermotogati; Deinococcota; Deinococci; Thermales; Thermaceae.
UCCUCCUGGGGGAGAGGCUGAGGCCUCUUGGGGUUUUUGGCUUCGCCCUGGCCUUCUUUGGGGCUUUGGUUCUGGCCCUGGGGGAGGGU